UAUCUCUGUAGAGUCUGCAUAUCAAUAAGCGGAGGAAAAGAAACUAACUAGGAUUCCCUUAGUAACGGCGAGUGAAGCGGGAAGAGCUCAAAUUUGAAAUCUUCAAGGUUUUACCUUGACGAAUUGUAGUUUAAAGAAGUGUUUUCUGUUGGUGUUUUGGUAAAAGUUCUUUGGAAUAGGACAUCAUAGAGGGUGAGAAUCCCGUAUUUGACCAUUACUUCCAGCGUUGUGAUACACUUUCAGAGAGUCGGAUUGUUUGGGAAUGCAGUCCAAAAUGGGUGGUAAAUUUCAUCUAAAGCUAAAUAUUGGCGAGAGACCGAUAGCGAACAAGUACCGUGAGGGAAAGAUGAAAAGAACUUUGAAAAGAGAGUUAAACAGUACGUGAAAUUGUCAAAAGGGAAGCGUUUGACACCAGUGUAGUUUUCUCGAAAAUCAAUUAAAAAAAGUUGGAUUUUGUAUUGUUAAGACCUUAUCAGCUUACUGUACUCUUUUCUUGCUUUUUUUUUAAUGCACUUUUCGUUUAACAAGUCAACAUCAAUUUCUUUUGUUGUAAAAGAGUCAUUGGAAGGUGGCUUUCACUUCGGUGAAAGUGUUUAUAGCCUUUGGCUUCUGCAAUCGGAGAGAUUGAGGUCUGCAGCGUAGAUCCUUCGGGGCUAGAUACGUAGAUGCUAAGUUAUAGUUUUUUAUAGACAACUUGUUGACUAUAAUUAAUCAUGUAGCUUACUCGUUUGCGCUAUUUUACCUACGCUUAGGAUGUUGAAGAUGUAGCACAUCAU
RNAcentral lists this ribosomal RNA (776 nucleotides) under uncultured Neocallimastigales. RNAcentral's name for it is "partial large subunit ribosomal RNA". It matches the Rfam family "Eukaryotic large subunit ribosomal RNA", at positions 24 to 608 of the family's 3401-position model. Lineage: Eukaryota; Fungi; Neocallimastigomycota; Neocallimastigomycetes; Neocallimastigales. The record is from RNAcentral.